GGAGGGCAAGUCUGGUGCCAGCAGCCGCGGUAAUUCCAGCUCCAAUAGCGUAUAUUAAAGUUGUUGCAGUUAAAAAGCUCGUAGUUGAAUUUCGGGAUCAAUUUAUUGGUCGUGCCAACGGUACGCACUGGUACAAUUGGUUUCUCCCUUCUGACGAAGCAUGAUGUCAUUAAUUUGACGUCGUGGGGAAUCAGGACUGUUACUUUGAAAAAAUUAGAGUGUUUAAAGCAGGCUUUGGCUUGAAUACAUUAGCAUGGAAUAAUGAAAUAGGACGUUUGAUCUUAUUUCGUUGGUUUCUAAGAUCGACGUAAUGAUUAAUAGGGAUAGUUGGGGGCAUUAGUAUUCAAUUGUCAGAGGUGAAAUUCUUGGAUUUAUUGAAGACUAACUACUGCGAAAGCAUUUGCCAAGGAUGUUUUCAUUAAUCAAGAACGAAAGUUAGGGGAUCGAAGACGAUCAGAUACCGUCGUAGUCUUAACCAUAAACUAUGCCGACUAGGGAUCGGAUGAUGUUAAUUUUUUAAUGACUCAUUCGGCGCCUUACGGGAAA
This 546-nucleotide ribosomal RNA is filed under the name uncultured Glomeromycotina. RNAcentral describes it as "SSU rRNA". It matches the Rfam family "Eukaryotic small subunit ribosomal RNA", at positions 550 to 1097 of the family's 1831-position model. Lineage: Eukaryota; Fungi; Glomeromycota. The record is from RNAcentral.